Molecule: ribosomal RNA, 256 nt
Filed under: Mycobacterium sp. ISO869_OTU578
Lineage: Bacteria; Bacillati; Actinomycetota; Actinomycetes; Mycobacteriales; Mycobacteriaceae
Description: partial 16S ribosomal RNA
Rfam family: Bacterial small subunit ribosomal RNA
Source: RNAcentral
ACGAACGCUGGCGGCGUGCUUAACACAUGCAAGUCGAACGGUAAGGCCUUUCGGGGUACACGAGUGGCGAACGGGUGAGUAACACGUGGGUGAUCUGCCCUGCACUUUGGGAUAAGCCUGGGAAACUGGGUCUAAUACCGAAUAUGACCAUGGGAUGCAUGUUCUGUGGUGGAAAGCUUUUGCGGUGUGGGAUGGGCCCGCGGCCUAUCAGCUUGUUGGUGGGGUGAUGGCCUACCAAGGCGACGACGGGUAGCCG